RNAcentral lists this ribosomal RNA (497 nucleotides) under uncultured bacterium. RNAcentral describes it as "partial 16S ribosomal RNA". It matches the Rfam family "Bacterial small subunit ribosomal RNA", at positions 28 to 507 of the family's 1533-position model. The record is from RNAcentral.
GAUGAACGCUGGCGGCGUGCCUAAUACAUGCAAGUCGAGCGAACAGACGAGGAGCUUGCUCCUCUGACGUUAGCGGCGGACGGGUGAGUAACACGUGGAUAACCUACCUAUAAGACUGGGAUAACUUCGGGAAACCGGAGCUAAUACCGGAUAAUAUAUUGAACCGCAUGGUUCAAUAGUGGAAGACGGUUUUGCUGUCACUUAUAGAUGGAUCCGCGCCGCAUUAGCUAGUUGGUAAGGUAACGGCUUACCAAGGCGACGAUGCGUAGCCGACCUGAGAGGGUGAUCGGCCACACUGGAACUGAGACACGGUCCAGACUCCUACGGGAGGCAGCAGUAGGGAAUCUUCCGCAAUGGGCGAAAGCCUGACGGAGCAACGCCGCGUGAGUGAUGAAGGUCUUCGGAUCGUAAAACUCUGUAAUUAGGGAAGAACAAAUGUGUAAGUAACUAUGCACGUCUUGACGGUACCUAAUCAGAAAGCCACGGCUAACUACGUG